AGUGGGAUAGCUGGGUCAAAUGGUGGUUGGAUUCUCAGUUUUCCAAGGAAUCGCCAUAGUGCUUUCCAUAUUGACUGCACCAAUAUGCAGACCCACCAGCAAU
Molecule: microRNA precursor, 103 nt
Filed under: Marmota monax (woodchuck)
Lineage: Eukaryota; Metazoa; Chordata; Mammalia; Rodentia; Sciuridae
Source: RNAcentral